UCCCCAGAGAAGCUGUGCCUCAUCUCCAC
This 29-nucleotide non-coding RNA is filed under the name Homo sapiens (human). Lineage: Eukaryota; Metazoa; Chordata; Mammalia; Primates; Hominidae. The record is from RNAcentral.